GAUGAACGCUGGCGGCGUGCCUAAUACAUGCCAGUCGAGCGAACAGACGAGGAGCUUGCUCCUUCGACGUUAGCGGCGGACGGGUGAGUAACACGUAGGUAACCUACCUAUAAGACUGGGAUAACUUCGGGAAACCGGAGCUAAUACCGGAUAAUAUUUCGAACCGCAUGGUUCGAUAGUGAAAGAUGGCUUUGCUAUCACUUAUAGAUGGACCUGCGCCGUAUUAGCUAGUUGGUAAGGUAACGGCUUACCAAGGCAACGAUACGUAGCCGACCUGAGAGGGUGAUCGGCCACACUGGAACUGAGACACGGUCCAGACUCCUACGGGGGGCAGCAGUAGGGAAUCUUCCGCAAUGGGCGAAAGCCUGACGGAGCAACGCCGCGUGAGUGAUGAAGGUCUUCGGAUCGUAAAACUCUGUUAUUAGGGAAGAACAAACGUGUAUGUAACUGUGCACGUCUUGACGGUACCUAAUCAGAAAGCCACGGCUAACUACGUG
This 497-nucleotide ribosomal RNA is filed under the name uncultured bacterium. Its description in RNAcentral is "partial 16S ribosomal RNA". It matches the Rfam family "Bacterial small subunit ribosomal RNA", at positions 28 to 507 of the family's 1533-position model. The record is from RNAcentral.